This is a long non-coding RNA of Magallana angulata, 503 nucleotides long. RefSeq lists it as uncharacterized. Lineage: Eukaryota; Metazoa; Mollusca; Bivalvia; Ostreida; Ostreidae. The transcript is spliced from 3 exons. The record is from RefSeq and is a predicted model, not a curated record.
AUCCUCAACAUAGUCUUGUUGGUCCUCCCUUUCUAUACGCUGAGCAUUUUCUUUACGAAAAACCAGGACAAAACUCAGUAUAUAACAAAUAUGCAAGGUUUGUUCAAGAGUUGGGAACAUUGUAGGUUUUCUAAUUAGAAUGUGAUCAAUUAUUAACACAGUAUUAUGAUUUUAAGAAUGUUUUAAUGUUUAAAAAAUGUUUUUAGGGAAAGUGAAAUAUCUCCUUACCAUCCGUUAUACAGAUUACGUAAAAGAGGUCGAUGACACAACUAGAAAUUCCACAAAAAUGAAUAACGAUGCAGAAUUUGGAAGUAAGUAUUAUAUAUUUACAUUUUCCAGCGUCUUUGUUGUGAUAAUAAUACGAAUCAAUUUUCUAAUGUUAGCCAAUACAUUUUUUCAAUGUCUAUUUUAAUAUCUAUUCGUACAAGUGCUGAAAAUUAUAUAAAUAAUAGUAAUUAGGAAUCAUUCGUUGAAUAGUAUGAGGUGAUCAAAUACGAUCGGGG